RNAcentral lists this transfer RNA (71 nucleotides) under Cordylochernes scorpioides. RNAcentral's name for it is "tRNA-Gly". The record is from RNAcentral. Lineage: Eukaryota; Metazoa; Arthropoda; Arachnida; Pseudoscorpiones; Chernetidae.
AGCAUCGGUCGGGAAUCGAACCUGGGCCACCCGCGUGGCAGGCGAGCAUUCUACCACUGAACCACCGAUUC